UACGGAGGGUGCAAGCGUUAUCCGGAUUCACUGGGUUUAAAGGGUGCGUAGGCGGGCAGGUAAGUCAGUGGUGAAGUCUCCGGGCUUAACCCGGAAACUGCCGUUGAUACUAUCUGUCUUGAAUAUCGUGGAGGUAAGCGGAAUAUGUCAUGUAGCGGUGAAAUGCUUAGAUAUGACAUAGAACACCCAUUGCGAAGGCAGCUUACUACACGAUCAUUGACGCUGAGGCACGAAAGCGUGGGGAGCAAACAGG
Molecule: ribosomal RNA, 253 nt
Filed under: uncultured bacterium
Lineage: Bacteria
Description: partial 16S ribosomal RNA
Rfam family: Bacterial small subunit ribosomal RNA
Source: RNAcentral